AGCGUAGACGGUGUGGCAAGUCUGAUGUGAAAGGCAUGGGCUCAACCUGUGGACUGCAUUGGAAACUGUCAUACUUGAGUGCCGGAGGGGUAAGCGGAAUUCCUAGUGUAGCGGUGGAAUGCGUAGAUAUUAGGAGGAACACCAGUGGCGAAGGCGGCUUACUGGACGGUAACUGACGUUGAGGCUCGAAAGCGUGGGAGCAAACA
RNAcentral lists this ribosomal RNA (206 nucleotides) under uncultured bacterium. RNAcentral describes it as "partial 16S ribosomal RNA". It matches the Rfam family "Bacterial small subunit ribosomal RNA", at positions 568 to 774 of the family's 1533-position model. The record is from RNAcentral.